RNAcentral lists this ribosomal RNA (835 nucleotides) under uncultured archaeon. RNAcentral's name for it is "bacterial SSU rRNA". It matches the Rfam family "Archaeal small subunit ribosomal RNA", at positions 85 to 923 of the family's 1478-position model. The record is from RNAcentral.
ACGGCUCAGUAACACGUAGUCAACCUAACUCGUGGACGUGGACAACCUCGGGAAACCGAGAAUAAACCACGAUAGAUCAUAGUGCCUGGAAUGGCUUAUGGUCCAAACAGUUUACUGCCAUGGGAUGGGACUGCGGCCUAUCAGCUUGUUGGUGAGGUAAUGGCCCACCAAGGCGAUUACAGGUACGGGCUCUGAGAGGAGAAGCCCGGAGAUGGGUACUGAGACACGGACCCAGGCCCUAUGGGGCGCAGCAGGCGAGAAACCUUAGCAAUGUGCGAAAGCACGACUGGGUCAGUCCGAGUGAUUCCUGAUAAAGGAGUCUUUUGCUUGUCCUAAAAGCACAGGUGAAUAAGGGGUGGGCAAGUCUGGUGUCAGCCGCCGCGGUAAUACCAGCACCUCGAGUGGUCAGGACGUUUAUUGGGCCUAAAGCAUCCGUAGCUGGCUUUGCAAGUCUCCGGUUAAAUCAACCUGCUUAACAGAUUGGCCGCUGGAGAUACUACAAAGCUAGGGAGUGGGAGAGGCAGACGGUAUUCGGGGGUAGGGGUAAAAUCCUCUGAUCCUCUGAGGACCACCAGUGGCGAAGGCGGUCUGCCAGAACACGUUCGACAGUGAGGGAUGAAAGCUGGGGGAGCAAACCGGAUUAGAUACCCGGGUAGUCCCAGCUGUAAACGAUGCAGACUCGGUGAAGCGUUGGCUUCAUGCCAACGCUGUGCCGCAGGGAAGCCGUUAAGUCUGCCGCCUGGGAAGUACGGUCGCAAGAUUGAAACUUAAAGGAAUUGGCGGGGGAGCGCCACAAGGGGUGAAGCCUGCGGUUCAAUUGGAUUCAACGCCGGGA